GACGAACGCUGGCGGCGUGCUUAACACAUGCAAGUCGAACGGAAAGGCCCUGCUUUUGUGGGGUGCUCGAGUGGCGAACGGGUGAGUAACACGUGAGUAACCUGCCCUUGACUUUGGGAUAACUUCAGGAAACUGGGGCUAAUACCGGAUAGGAGCUCCUGCUGCAUGGUGGGGGUUGGAAAGUUUCGGCGGUUGGGGAUGGACGCGCGGCUUAUCAGCUUGUUGGUGGGGUAGUGGCUUACCAAGGCUUUGACGGGUAGCCGGCCUGAGAGGGUGACCGGCCACAUUGGGACUGAGAUACGGCCCAGACUCCUACGGGAGGCAGAAGUGGGGAAUAUUGCACAAUGGGCGGAAGCCUGAUGCAGCAACGCCGCGUGCGGGAUGACGGCCUUCGUGUUGUAAACCGCUUUCGCCUGUGACGAAGCGUGAGUGACGGUAAUGGGUAAAGAAGCACCGGCUAACUACGUG
RNAcentral lists this ribosomal RNA (468 nucleotides) under uncultured bacterium. RNAcentral describes it as "partial 16S ribosomal RNA". It matches the Rfam family "Bacterial small subunit ribosomal RNA", at positions 28 to 507 of the family's 1533-position model. The record is from RNAcentral.